Molecule: ribosomal RNA, 523 nt
Filed under: Heteroxylaria oxyacanthae
Lineage: Eukaryota; Fungi; Ascomycota; Sordariomycetes; Xylariales; Xylariaceae
Description: eukaryotic LSU rRNA
Rfam family: 5.8S ribosomal RNA (bases 184-337)
Source: RNAcentral
UUUCGUAACUCCCAAACCCAUGUGAACCUUAUACUCUGCGUUGCCUCGGCAGGUCGCGCUCACCCGGUGGUACCCUACCCUGUAGGGGCCUACCCGGUGGACGCGGUGAAAGCCUGCCGGCGGCCCAACCCAAACUCUUGUUUAUUAUUUGAAUCUUCUGAACUUUAUAACUAAAUAAGUUAAAACUUUCAACAACGGAUCUCUUGGUUCUGGCAUCGAUGAAGAACGCAGCGAAAUGCGAUAAGUAAUGUGAAUUGCAGAAUUCAGUGAAUCAUCGAAUCUUUGAACGCACAUUGCGCCCAUUAGUAUUCUAGUGGGCAUGCCUGUUCGAGCGUCAUUUCAACCCUUAAGCCCCUGCUGCUUAGUGUUGGGAGCCUACAGCGAUGUAGCUCCUCGAAGUUAGUGGCGGAGUCGGUUACACACUCUAGACGUAGUAAAUAUCUUGUAUUGUCUCGCCUACGGUUGUGCCGGUCCCCUGCCGUAAAACACCCCAGUUUUCUCAAGGUUGACCUCGGAUCAGGUA